RNAcentral lists this ribosomal RNA (601 nucleotides) under uncultured bacterium. RNAcentral's name for it is "bacterial SSU rRNA". It matches the Rfam family "Bacterial small subunit ribosomal RNA", at positions 9 to 443 of the family's 1533-position model. The record is from RNAcentral.
GAGUUUGAUCCUGGCUCAGAGUGAACGCUGGCGGCGUGCCUAAUACAUGCAAGUCGAACGAUGAAGCUUCUAGCUUGCUAGAAGUGGAUUAGUGGCGCACGGGUGAGUAAUGCAUAGGUUAUGUGCCCUUUAGUCUGGGAUAGCCACUGGAAACGGUGAUUAAUACUGGAUACUCCCUACGGGGGAAAGGGGCUUUCAAUAAAGAAUUUCUCUUUUUAGUGUUUUGUGUUGUUGGCACAAAAUUCUAGUAUUUGGAAUGAGAAAUUGAUGUUGUGAAGCAAUUUGUGCGGAGACUAGACUUAGUGUCUGUCGCACAAGCAAAUUGCGAACUCAUCGAUUUAUCGUCCAAAGACGAAUUUUUUAUUGAAAGCCUUCGCUAAAGGAUCAGCCUAUGUCCUAUCAGCUAGUUGGUGAGGUAAUGGCUCACCAAGGCUAUGACGGGUAUCCGGCCUGAGAGGGUGAUCGGACACACUGGAACUGAGACACGGUCCAGACUCCUACGGGAGGCAACAAUACGGAAUAUUGCUCAAUGGGGGAAACCCUGAACAGCAACCGCCCCCUGGAAGACGACGUUUUACGAUUGUAACCUCCUUUUGGACGA